CCUACGGGUGGCAGCAGUGAGGAAUAUUGGUCAAUGGACGAGAGUCUGAACCAGCCAAGUAGCGUGAAGGAUGACUGCCCUAUGGGUUGUAAGCUUCUUUUAUAUUGGAAUAAAAUGUUCCACGUGUGGGAUUUUGUAUGUACCAUAUGAAUAAGGAUCGGCUAACUCCGUGCCAUCAGCCGCGGUAAUACGGAGGAUCCGAGCGUUAUCCGGAUUUAUUGGGUUUAAAGGGAGCGUAGGUGGAUUGUUAAGUCAGUUGUGAAAGUUUGCGGCUCAACCGUAAAAUUGCAGUUGAAACUGGCAGUCUGGAGUACAGUAGAGGUAGGCGGAAUUCGUGGUGUAGCGGUGAAAUGCUUAGAUAUCACGAAGAACUCCGAGUGCGAAGGCAGCUCACUGGACUGAAACUGACACUGAGGCUCGAAAGUGUGGGGAUCAAACAGGAUUAGAUACCCCUGUAGUC
Molecule: ribosomal RNA, 460 nt
Filed under: uncultured bacterium
Lineage: Bacteria
Description: partial 16S ribosomal RNA
Rfam family: Bacterial small subunit ribosomal RNA
Source: RNAcentral